Molecule: ribosomal RNA, 301 nt
Filed under: uncultured bacterium
Lineage: Bacteria
Description: partial 16S ribosomal RNA
Rfam family: Bacterial small subunit ribosomal RNA
Source: RNAcentral
CAGCCGCCGCGGGAAUACGUAGGUGGCAAGCGUUGUCCGGAAUUAUUGGGCGUAAGGCGCGCGCAGGCGGAUAGGUCAGUCUGUCUUAAAAGUUCGGGGCUUAACCCCGUGAUGAGAUGGAAACUGCCAAUCUAGAGUAUCGGAGAGGAAAGUGGAAUUCCUAGUGUAGCGGUGAAAUGCGUAGAUAUUAGGAAGAACACCAGUGGCGAAGGCGACUUUCUGGACGAAAACUGACGCUGAGGCGCGAAAGCCAGGGGAGCGAACGGGAUUAGAUACCCCCGUAGUCCCUGUCUCUUAUACA